Molecule: ribosomal RNA, 624 nt
Filed under: uncultured bacterium
Lineage: Bacteria
Description: bacterial SSU rRNA
Rfam family: Bacterial small subunit ribosomal RNA
Source: RNAcentral
UCUUGAAGUCUUAGUGGCGCAGCUAACGCACUAAGUAGACCGCCUGGGGAGUACGGCCGCAAGGUUAAAACUCAAAUGAGUUGACGGGGGCCCGCACAAGCGGUGGAGCAUGUGGUUUAAUUCGACGCAACGCGAAGAACCUUACCUGGCCUUGACAUGCAGAGAACUUUCCAGAGAUGGAUUGGUGCCUUCGGGAACUCUGACACAGGUGCUGCAUGGCCGUCGUCAGCUCGUGUCGUGAGAUGUUGGGUUAAGUCCCGUAACGAGCGCAACCCCUAUCCCUAGUUGCUAGCAGUUCGGCUGAGAACUCUAGGGAGACUGCCGGUGACAAACCGGAGGAAGGUGGGGAUGACGUCAGGUCAUCUNNNNCNNNACGGCCAGGGCUACACACGUGCUACAAUGGUGCGUACAGAGGGCUGCAAACCCGCGAGGGGGAGCUAAUCUCACAAAACGCAUCGUAGUCCGGAUCGGAGUCUGCAACUCGACUCCGUGAAGUCGGAAUCGCUAGUAAUCGCGAAUCAGAAUGUCGCGGUGAAUACGUUCCCGGGCCUUGUACACACCGCCCGUCACACCAUGGGAGUGGAUUGCACCAGAAGUGGUUAGUCUAACCUUCGGGAGGACGAU